RNAcentral lists this long non-coding RNA (1472 nucleotides) under Capra hircus (goat). RNAcentral's name for it is "lncRNA (ENSCHIG00010020962.1)". Lineage: Eukaryota; Metazoa; Chordata; Mammalia; Artiodactyla; Bovidae. The record is from RNAcentral.
CGACCGUUUGAAAACCGUGACUCUGGCUGCAAACGGAAGAGGGGGAAACUGUAAAUGAGAAAGGAAGCCAUUAAGAACGAAAACUACCUCUCUCUGCGCCAGCUCCGCACCAUCGCCCCAGGUUUCCGGCUUCGCUGCGUGCUUCUCAGGCCUCGGACACCAGCGGCCCCUCUCAGGAGCCGGCAGCCCCCACCCGGCGUGGGCUCAGUGAGGGCCCAGCUGCAGCCCCCACUGAGCACCCCAACGGCCACCGCGGUCCAUCCACACAAGGCCCUGCCUGCCUGGGAGCCCGGGGCUGGUCCUUUACCUGCCGCCCCUUUCUCACCCGCCCUAGCCCCACGCACCCGGAAGUGGAGAUCCAGCCUGAAGAGGCCGCUGGGAGGGCCCUGGGGUGGCCCCCUGAGAUGCCCUGUGGCUCAGGAGGAAUUCCAGCCCUGGGAGAGGCUAUCCUGGGCCCGCCGCUGCCCUCAGCCACCACAGGCCACAGGCCCCUAACAAGGUCCAGGCCAGGCGUGGAGACCCCGCUGCUGGCUAGCCAGCCCCCAGCCUUCACAGGGCCCACCAGUCAGAGGACAGUGAGACCAUCGCCCUCUAACUCCCCGCAACCCAUCAGCUCUCAGCCAAAUGUGAAAUGGGGGUGGGGGGCUUCCAAUUCCAGGAACGGGAUCAUGGUAACAUCAAGACCCACCAGAGAUUCGGCAAGGUAAGCCACGGGACACCCACAUGGAAGUAGGGGCCACAGAGGCCAAGAGAAGGAGAGGGACCUGGCCAAGGCCUCAUGCGACCAUGGGCUGGGACUUUCCCGGGGACUCGGGAAAGCUGGGGGGUGGUGGCAGCUGUUACGGGACCCAGACCACGCUCACCGGGGUAAGGUGGCAGCUCUGCUUCUACCCAGGGCGUGGAACAAUCAGAAACAUAAGAGAAUGGGAUAGCAGCUGAGGAUGCGGAGGGGCCCCAAAGCUCGCCAUCAGAGGUACCUCCUGGAUCAGUCAGGGGUUCAAAGGGGAAAAGAGCAGCGAAGAGAUUCUGAAAUGGCCCGUGGGGAACAGGGGGCUGGACUGAGUGUUACUGGGAGAUUCAAAGUCAGGAAGGCCUGCACUCCCAUCCUGCCUCGCCAGGCUCUGUGGCCUCAGAGCAGGCAUCCGACUCCACUGAGCCCCGGUCUCUCCAGAGACACCUCACUCUGCCCCCGGGAAAAUCCACAAAACCGGUGUUCUCGGGACGCCUUGAUUCAGCCUGGAAGACAAGUGUGUCCCCACCCCGGGCCCGUACCUGCUCAGGGACCCUGCAGGAGCUGGGGAGGCGGGGAAGGCAGGCACCUCCACCAAGGCAUCCAGGCCUCUCUCACCUCAUCUCUUGCGGCAACCCGCAUGGCGCUCAACACUCCCGCCACACCUGACUGCUCGUCUGCGCCCUCGCUCUGCCCUGGCUCGGCUGCUCCCUCUGCCUUCCCUCCAGCUCUUCGAGCCUGA